This 745-nucleotide ribosomal RNA is filed under the name uncultured bacterium. Its description in RNAcentral is "bacterial SSU rRNA". It matches the Rfam family "Bacterial small subunit ribosomal RNA", at positions 33 to 773 of the family's 1533-position model. The record is from RNAcentral.
ACGCUGGCGGCAGGCCUAACACAUGCAAGUCGAGCGGUAGAGAGAAGCUUGCUUCUCUUGAGAGCGGCGGACGGGUGAGUAAUGCCUAGGAAUCUGCCUGGUAGUGGGGGAUAACGUUCGGAAACGGACGCUAAUACCGCAUACGUCCUACGGGAGAAAGCAGGGGACCUUCGGGCCUUGCGCUAUCAGAUGAGCCUAGGUCGGAUUAGCUAGUUGGUGAGGUAAUGGCUCACCAAGGCGACGAUCCGUAACUGGUCUGAGAGGAUGAUCAGUCACACUGGAACUGAGACACGGUCCAGACUCCUACGGGAGGCAGCAGUGGGGAAUAUUGGACAAUGGGCGAAAGCCUGAUCCAGCCAUGCCGCGUGUGUGAAGAAGGUCUUCGGAUUGUAAAGCACUUUAAGUUGGGAGGAAGGGUUGUAGUUUAAUACUCUGCAAUUUUGACGUUACCGACAGAAUAAGCACCGGCUAACUCUGUGCCAGCAGCCGCGGUAAUACGGAGCGUGCAAGCGUUAAUCGGAAUUACUGGGCGUAAAGCGCGCGUAGGUGGUUUGUUAAGUUGGAUGUGAAAUCCCCGGGCUCAACCUGGGAACUGCAUUCAAAACUGACUGACUAGAGUAUGGUAGAGGGUGGUGGAAUUUCCUGUGUAGCGGUGAAAUGCGUAGAUAUAGGAAGGAACACCAGUGGCGAAGGCGACCACCUGGACUAAUACUGACACUGAGGUGCGAAAGCGUGGGGAGCAAAC